Long non-coding RNA from Serinus canaria (Common canary), 943 nucleotides. RefSeq lists it as uncharacterized. Lineage: Eukaryota; Metazoa; Chordata; Aves; Passeriformes; Fringillidae. The transcript is spliced from 2 exons. The record is from RefSeq and is a predicted model, not a curated record.
UUUUCUGCCUUUUGAACUGCAACACAGUGGAGGGAAACCUGGGAUGCAUGGGAAGCCAGGACAGGUGAUCCUAAGUGACCAAAGGAAUAUUCCAGACCAUACAGCAUCAUGCUCAGCACAUAAAGUGAAGGUUUGCUACUAUAUGGUUCUUCUGAAGUGUUAGUGGUGCACUGGAGCUGAGUACCAUAUACACCAAGUCUGAUGCUUAGUCCCUGAACAUGGCUGGAGAAUUGGUCAGCACACACUGAAGACACAACUGCUGCAGAUGGGGUGCGAAGAACUUCUGGAUGUACGGCAGCAAGGGUUGCUGCAGCAGGGCUUGUAGAAAGGCUCGUCAAAAUCUUCAAAUUCUGCCCCAGCUCAACUACUGCAUGGAGAAAGAGGGCAUGCCUGGGGAUCCUGGGCUUGUGGCAGAGCUGUCUGUGUUUGCUAUACUGCCAGUGGCAGAAAUGCUCUUUCUGGGCUCCUUGCUCCUAAGCCAGCGCUGUAGCCUGACAGCAAGGAAGGACAACAGACACCUAGGUGGUACAAGAAGAAACACAGCCAGGAGAUCAAAGGAUUCUUCUACUGAUAGAAGGAUCCCCUUCUAUUCACCGGUCCUUAGACUGUAUCUAGACUACAGUGCAAGCUUAGUAUCCACCAGGAAAGAUAUCAAAAAACCAGAAUGAGUUGAGCACAGGGUCACUGCAGUGGCUGAGGGCUAGAGCACCUGAGGUACUGAGGUGUGUUCAGCUUGGAGUAAAAACAGCUUGUGGGUGGAACACUUCCAAGCAGCCUCCCAGUACCUACAAGUUAUCAAUAAGGUGAUACUCUUCAGUGGUGUGUGGUGGGAGGAGGAAAGACAGUGGAUAAAAGUGAAAAGAAAGAUGUUCAAGACUGGAUUAUAAGGGAAGUGUCUUCCCUGCCAUGAGGAGAGGUAAUUAGUGAAGCAGGUUCAUCCAGA